This 59-nucleotide ribosomal RNA is filed under the name Beauveria bassiana. RNAcentral's name for it is "partial 28S ribosomal RNA". It matches the Rfam family "Eukaryotic large subunit ribosomal RNA", at positions 1 to 56 of the family's 3401-position model. Lineage: Eukaryota; Fungi; Ascomycota; Sordariomycetes; Hypocreales; Cordycipitaceae. The record is from RNAcentral.
CGUUGACCUCGAAUCAGGUAGGACUACCCGCUGAACUUAAGCAUAUCAAUAAGCGGAGG